RNAcentral lists this non-coding RNA (111 nucleotides) under Aurantiacibacter atlanticus. Its description in RNAcentral is "Erythrobacter atlanticus TPP sequence". It matches the Rfam family "TPP riboswitch aptamer (THI element)". From Rfam's summary of the family: Vitamin B(1) in its active form thiamin pyrophosphate (TPP) is an essential coenzyme that is synthesised by coupling of pyrimidine and thiazole moieties in bacteria. The previously detected thiamin-regulatory element, thi box was extended, resulting in a new, highly conserved RNA secondary structure, the THI element, which is widely distributed in eubacteria and also occurs in some archaea. The record is from Rfam by way of RNAcentral. Lineage: Bacteria; Pseudomonadati; Pseudomonadota; Alphaproteobacteria; Sphingomonadales; Erythrobacteraceae.
GCUCUAUCCCCGGGGAGCCAGCUUGUGGCUGAGAGGGGCGGAUUAAGCGCCGCCCGACCCGUUGAACCUGAACCCGUUAGCACGGGCGGAGGGAAGGGCGGCCCGGGCAAG